UUGCAGGUGUAGAGGAGCAAGUUUUGGUUGGAAUUGAAAUUCCUGAAAGCAAGGCAACUGAAUGGAUUAAAGCUCGAAAGCUCAUACCUGGAUGGUUUUUGUCACACCAAAAUGAAGUAUAAGAAAACCUUAUAAAAGAAGAUACAUACCUGUCUGGGCGUCCUUGCUAUCGUCGUUUCCAACCCGUCCGCAGGGUCUGCCACUCUUGGGUGCCCUUUUGGGUAAUGGUCUAGCUGUUUCCUUGCAUCCAUGCUGCUGCAGGGUUGUAGUCGUACCCGUGGCCAUGGUUAUCACUCAUCAACUUGGUCGUGCUCAUGUGGACUAUUUAUUUCCAACAAUGCCAUCAAACCAUCAGAGGUUCCUCACCGGUUUCCUUUUGCUGCACCUUUGUUUGGUUGCUCUAGGGUGAGAGGACCUCUCUGCGUCUGUAUGCUGAUUUGGUCAUGGAAUUCGAGCCUCAUUUACUGCACCUCUGGUUUGUGUAUUUUCAUGGAAUGCCACUCUCAAAUUAGUUUAGCUUUGUCCACACAUAUUAUGAUGUUUUGUGUCUAUUGCUGCCUUUGGCAUAUUUAAUCAUCUAUGUGUCUGCCAUGAAUUUAACAUGAAUAUAUUCCUGUUUUUUGUUACUUCUCUUGGCUUGGAUCACUAUGUUUGUUCUUCCUUUGCCUUUCAAUACAUCAAGGUGAGCUUCACACAUCGUUCCCUCUUUUAUUAUAUUCAGGCAAUGAAGGAUCAGUACACGCCCAAUCUUCUGUGGCCUCCUCUCAUAAGAACUUCUACAUCGCUGUAUGAAAAUAGCUUUUCUUUGUCCAUGUGAUUAUUUGGGGAUUUUUGCCCAUAAAAAUAGCUUCUGAUGCCAAUACCGAGAUGUUAUUGAUGCAUGUGAGCCGCUCUAAUUGACUGUAUUUUAGAAAUCGUGUACCCCACGAUUUUGGAAACCAUGUAAAUGAGUUAAUUGAGGACUGUAAGAUCCCUUAUCAGAUUAUAUCAUUUGUUGCUAACUCAUGUUCCUUCAAACGCUUGCAGGGUUGGAUUGGAUAUUCACAGAACUUUAUACCAUAUACUUUGGGCAUUGCUGAAACAACUGAAUGUCAAAGGUGCUUAUGGGUUGUCCUACAAUUUGUGUGGAUGUAUUUAGCUGUGGCGUUUAUGGUAGCUGCAGCAGCUUGUCAAUUAGUUCUUAGUCAAGGACAGGCACCAAUACAUGCUACCACUUAAUUCAGGUCAUGGUACCACUUAAUUCAGGCCAUUGUACCUGCAACGUCCGGUCUUCAUGGGAAUGCGUACCGCCGUCGAAUCCUAUUGACCCGCACUCGAUCCCGACCCUCGAUUGGGGUCGAUGAACCCGGUACACGGGACACGGCGUCGACCCGCGUUCCCGGCUACUAUGGUCUUAACGCGAGGAGGUGCCGAGAUACACGAGGGGUUGGAGCAGGACUGCAAGAGGAGUUGAGGACAUGUUUUGUUUUAGAUCCACCUGAUUAGUCCCAAGUUUUUGCAAGGUCUGCUUCUUAUGCAGAGGUUUCUUUUGAUGGGCAGCCUAGCCAAUUAAUUAUGUUUGGAUCACUCUGGGCAAUUCUCUCUGGAGUUGAGAGUACUCUGAGCACUGCCCAUAGCGUGCCACGACGACCGUUUGCACUAUAGGAGCCUCGCGACACAGUCCUCAUAUGAGAAGUGGGGAUUCCACCAGCAUUCUCACAAAUAGGAGGCACUACCGAGUUACUAAUGACUAUACAUGCCUGCUGUGUGAUAAUCCUCCCGAGGAAACCCUGGCAAUUCUCUAGGGUGACUUGGCCAAACUCUGAAUGCAGACUUGAGAUGUUGCACAUGGGAAAACAAACUUGGCACAAACCUCUGUUCAUGGAAACUUUCAUUGUUGCCGUAUGGGGGAUCUGGAUGGAGAGAAAUGACAAGUCCUUCAGAGGAAUGCCCAUGCAAGCAUUAUCCAACAAUAACAAGUCUUCUUAUUCAUGCAUGCACACCCUUAGAAGACCACAAUGGGCCUAAGAAAUCUUCUCUGCUCAAAUUAUGUAUGCGUAUCUAUAUGAGGCAUCUCUCCUAUGUUGCUUGCUUUUUAAAAGCAUUGUAAAUGGCUAUCAAAACUUCUUAUAACGCUGUGUAUCAGCAUCAUACCUAAGUAUAUAUUUCCUUAUAACUAAA
Triticum urartu is the source of this 2160-nucleotide non-coding RNA. The record is from RefSeq and is a predicted model, not a curated record. NCBI's taxonomy places the organism in Eukaryota, Viridiplantae, Streptophyta, Magnoliopsida, Poales, Poaceae.